RNAcentral lists this long non-coding RNA (1343 nucleotides) under Capsella grandiflora. RNAcentral's name for it is "long non-coding RNA (CGRA_LNC000099)". Lineage: Eukaryota; Viridiplantae; Streptophyta; Magnoliopsida; Brassicales; Brassicaceae. The record is from RNAcentral.
AAAAAAAAAAGGAAAUUGAAAAACUCAUUGGGUUGGUUUGUAUUUUACCUAAACCCACUAUGUUCCUUUUUUUUUUUUUUUCCUCUGUAACUGAAUUUUCAUUUGGAGUAAAUUUUACUUUUUAAUUUUCAUUUGGCUUCAAUAUUACGACGUCAUUGUUUUGGUAAUACUUCAUAAUCUACAACAAGAGUAUGUAAACGAUCUAAAACAUUUUUCUUAAGAAAUAAUAAAACAACAAUCUAAAACAUUUCCAUAUCUUCUCUUUAUAGAUAAUGUAUUGGUUUUCACAUUUGGUAACCUGAUUUCCCCAUUCCCUAUGGUUAAACUAGCUCGGAUUAUGAAAUAACUUGAUCAAUGUACAUAGUUUGGUAAGCUUAUUGGUCAAAAGUAUGUUACGUCUUCUUCUCCAAAGUAUGAUAAGUUUUUAGAUAAAAUAAAAUAAUAGUACGUUAUUUUAAGUUUUAAUUUUUAGAUGUUUACCAUAUUUUAGAUACAUGUAUCAAAUGAAGUUUUAGUAUUAGUUUAGUUUUUACUUCUCUCAACAAAUAUGUAAUAGUAUAAAGCUAAAGUUGAAUCUAGGGUGAAAUAAUUAGUUUUUUUUUUAACAGAAAAUAAAUUAAGCAGCAUCAAUUUUAAUAUCUCUAGUAUAUCGCAUGAAUUGUAACUUGAUUGGGUAAUUGGCUUAUCCUCUACAAUUGAUGUCAGUAUAAAAAAUAAAAAAAAUAACCUAAACCGAAUAAUGAAAUAAUGUAGAAUCAAACCGGAAUGAACUAAACCGGAAAUUGGAAGAGCAACGUGGGCCUUAUCUUCUUCUUCCCAACUUGCUUCUAUCUUCUUGAGAGCAAAACAAACACAAACACUCUCCUCUCACAAGCACGAUUUUGAUUUCAGACUUUUGAGAUUAACCAUCUCAUCGGAAAGAAAAACAAAAAAGUUCAGUGACCCUUUUAUGUUCGAAUCGAACAUGCUUCUUCAGACACUAUCUUCUUCGUCUCCUCCAAUUCACCGUCUCUAUCUUCACCAUUCUCAGAUUCUCCCUUCCUCUGCCUCGCCCAAGAAGAUUUCUCUUCAGGUAAACACUCCACGUUGCUCUCUUUCGCAUCAACAUUAGCCGUAGUUACUAAUCUCAGUUUAUUCUAGGACUUUCCUCUGUUUUUGUUUUACCAUUUGAGGAUCUUAAUUCGUAGUGACUCGAUUGGUUUGUGAAAUACUUGGAACCAUAGUAGAUUAUGUGGAAUCUGAACAAGAACAGAAUCAAAAUUUUGAGCUUUCUAUUGUUGAAAUUGUGUUGGCUUUUCAUUUAUCACUUUCUACUGUUUCUCUUGUGGUGGGAUGGUUGAGAC